RNAcentral lists this ribosomal RNA (492 nucleotides) under uncultured bacterium. RNAcentral describes it as "partial 16S ribosomal RNA". It matches the Rfam family "Bacterial small subunit ribosomal RNA", at positions 29 to 507 of the family's 1533-position model. The record is from RNAcentral.
AGUGAACGCUGGCGGUAGGCCUAACACAUGCCAGUCGAACGGCAGCACAGUAAGAGCUUGCUCUUACGGGUGGCGAGUGGCGGACGGGUGAGGAAUACAUCGGAAUCUACUUUUUCGUGGGGGAUAACGUAGGGAAACUUACGCUAAUACCGCAUACGACCUACGGGUGAAAGCAGGGGAUCUUCUGACCUUGCGCGAUUGAAUUAGCCGAUGUCGGAUUAGCUAGUUGGCGGGGUAAAGGCCCGCCAAGGCGACGAUCCGUAGCUGGUCUGAGAGGAUGAUCAGCCACACUGGAACUGAGACACGGUCCAGACUCCUACGGGAGGCAGCAGUGGGGAAUAUUGGACAAUGGGCGAAAGCCUGAUCCAGCCAUACCGCGUGGGUGAAGAAGGCCUUCGGGUUGUAAAGCCCUUUUGUUGGGAAAGAAAAGCAGCAGGUUAAUACCCCGCUGUUCUGACGGUACCCAAAGAAUAAGCACCGGCUAACUUCGUG